GGGGGUGUAGCUCAGUUGGGAGAGCGCUUCCAUGGCAUGGAAGAGGUCAGGGGUUCGAAUCCCCUCACCUCCA
Molecule: transfer RNA, 73 nt
Filed under: Phycisphaerae bacterium
Lineage: Bacteria; Pseudomonadati; Planctomycetota; Phycisphaerae
Description: tRNA-Ala
Rfam family: tRNA
About the family: Transfer RNA (tRNA) molecules are approximately 80 nucleotides in length. Their secondary structure includes four short double-helical elements and three loops (D, anti-codon, and T loops). Further hydrogen bonds mediate the characteristic L-shaped molecular structure. tRNAs have two regions of fundamental functional importance: the anti-codon, which is responsible for specific mRNA codon recognition, and the 3' end, to which the tRNAs corresponding amino acid is attached (by aminoacyl-tRNA synthetases). tRNAs cope with the degeneracy of the genetic code in two manners: having more than one tRNA (with a specific anti-codon) for a particular amino acid; and 'wobble' base-pairing, i.e. permitting non-standard base-pairing at the 3rd anti-codon position.
Source: RNAcentral